AACGAACGCUGGCGGCAUGCCUAACACAUGCAAGUCGAACGAGGCCUUCGGGUCUAGUGGCGCACGGGUGCGUAACGCGUGGGAACCUGCCCUUAGGUUCGGAAUAACUCCCCGAAAGGGGUGCUAAUACCGGAUAAUGUCUUCGGACCAAAGAUUUAUCGCCUUUGGAUGGGCCCGCGUUGGAUUAGCUAGUUGGUAGGGUAAAAGCCUACCAAGGCGACGAUCCAUAGCUGGCCUGAGAGGAUGAUCAGCCACACUGGGACUGAGACACGGCCCAGACUCCUACGGGAGGCAGCAGUGGGGAAUAUUGGACAAUGGGCGAAAGCCUGAUCCAGCAAUGCCGCGUGAGUGAUGAAGGCCUUAGGGUUGUAAAGCUCUUUUACCCGGGAUGAUAAUGACAGUACCGGGAGAAUAAGCUCCGGCUAACUCCGUG
RNAcentral lists this ribosomal RNA (433 nucleotides) under uncultured bacterium. RNAcentral describes it as "partial 16S ribosomal RNA". It matches the Rfam family "Bacterial small subunit ribosomal RNA", at positions 29 to 507 of the family's 1533-position model. The record is from RNAcentral.